Molecule: ribosomal RNA, 361 nt
Filed under: uncultured beta proteobacterium
Lineage: Bacteria; Pseudomonadati; Pseudomonadota; Betaproteobacteria
Description: bacterial SSU rRNA
Rfam family: Bacterial small subunit ribosomal RNA
Source: RNAcentral
GGACUACUAAUGACGGUACCUGAAGAAGAACCACCGGCUAACUACGUGCCAGCAGCCGCGGUAAUACGUAGGGUGCGAGCGUUAAUCGGAAUUACUGGGCGUAAAGCGUGCGCAGGCGGUUAUUUAAGACAGAUGUGAAAUCCCCGGGCUCAACCUGGGAAGUGCGUUUGAGACUGUAUAACUUGAGUGUGGCAGAGGGGGGUGGAAUUCCACGUGUAGCAGUGAAAUGCGUAAAGAUGUGGAGGAACACCGGUGGCGAAGGCAACCCCCUGGGUCAACACUGACACUCAUGCUCGAAUGCGUGGGGAGCAAACAGGAUUAGAUACCCUGGUAGUCCACGCCCUAAACGAUGCGAACUAGG